CCUACGGGAGACUGCAGUGAGGAAUAUUGGUCAAUGGGCGCGAGCCUGAACCAGCCAAGUCGCGUGAGGGAGGACGGCCCUACGGGUUGUAAACCUCUUUUGCCGGGGAGCAACGUGCGUCACGUGUGGCGCCCCUGAGAGUACCCGGAGACAAAGCAUCGGCUAACUCCGUGCCAGCAGCCGCGGUAAUACGGAGGAUGCGAGCGUUAUCCGGAUUUAUUGGGUUUAAAGGGUGCGUAGGCGGAUCGUUAAGUCAGUGGUCAAAUUGAGGGGCUCAACCCCUUCCCGCCAUUGAAACUGGCGCUCUUGAGUGGAAGAGAAGUAUGCGGAAUGCGUGGUGUAGCGGUGAAAUGCAUAGAUAUCACGCAGAACCCCGAUUGCGAAGGCAGCAUGCCGGCUUCCGACUGACGCUGAAGCACGAAAGCGUGGGGAUCGAACAGGAUUAGAUACCCCGGUAGUC
This 460-nucleotide ribosomal RNA is filed under the name uncultured bacterium. RNAcentral describes it as "partial 16S ribosomal RNA". It matches the Rfam family "Bacterial small subunit ribosomal RNA", at positions 338 to 795 of the family's 1533-position model. The record is from RNAcentral.